Molecule: ribosomal RNA, 478 nt
Filed under: uncultured bacterium
Lineage: Bacteria
Description: partial 16S ribosomal RNA
Rfam family: Bacterial small subunit ribosomal RNA
Source: RNAcentral
AUUGAACGCUGGCGGCGGGCUUAACACAUGCAAGUCGAACGGUAAGGCCCUUCGGGGUACACGAGUGGCGAACGGGUGAGUAACACGUGGGUGAUCUGCCCUGCACUUCGGGAUAAGACUGGGAAACUGGGUCUAAUACCGGAUAGGACCAAUGCCUGCAUGGGUGGUGGUGGAAAGCUUUUGCGGUGUGGGAUGGGCCCGCGGCCUAUCAGCUUGUUGGUGGGGUGAUGGCCUACCAAGGCGACGACGGGUAGCCGGCCUGAGAGGGUGACCGGCCACACUGGGACUGAGAUACGGCCCAGACUCCUACGGGAGGCAGCAGUGGGGAAUAUUGCACAAUGGGCGCAAGCCUGAUGCAGCGACGCCGCGUGAGGGAUGACGGCCUUCGGGUUGUAAACCUCUUUCAGCACCGACGAAGCGCAAGUGACGGUAGGUGCAGAAGAAGGACCGGCCAACUACGUGCCAGCCGCCGCCGUAA